AUAUUCGAUACAACAUCAACUUAUAUAAUGCCAAAAUAAGGUUGGCAAGUUUCUACCCAGUACCGUAAAUACUGGACUAUAAGUAAAGAACUAAAAAUG
Molecule: non-coding RNA, 99 nt
Filed under: Carnobacterium iners
Lineage: Bacteria; Bacillati; Bacillota; Bacilli; Lactobacillales; Carnobacteriaceae
Description: Guanine sequence
Rfam family: Purine riboswitch aptamer
About the family: Riboswitches are metabolite binding domains within certain messenger RNAs that serve as precision sensors for their corresponding targets. Allosteric rearrangement of mRNA structure is mediated by ligand binding, and this results in modulation of gene expression.
Source: Rfam by way of RNAcentral